This 209-nucleotide long non-coding RNA is filed under the name Gossypium barbadense (sea-island cotton). RNAcentral describes it as "long non-coding RNA (GBAR_LNC022633)". Lineage: Eukaryota; Viridiplantae; Streptophyta; Magnoliopsida; Malvales; Malvaceae. The record is from RNAcentral.
AUUCGCCUAAGGUCACUCCCAAUCCUCCGUUCAUUCGACUCCCUGAUAUAUGCUUAAACAAAAAGAGUAACAUCUUGCACCGUUUGAACUUUGUUUUCAUGCACAAGCAAAUUUCUUGAAUAGAUAACGCCCAAAGCGUGAUAGCGUACUCGACACUUGUCUUCACCAAAAUUUCUGAAUGAACCAAACAUCCGAUUAGGAAAAUCAUU